AUACGGAGGAUCCGAGCGUUAUCCGGAUUUAUUGGGUUUAAAGGGUGCGCAGGCGGCCAUUUAAGUCAGCGGUUAAAUCGUGGGGCUCAACCCCAUUCUGCCGUUGAUACUGGGUGGCUUGAUUGCGGUCGAGGUUGGCGGAAUUCGUUGUGUAGCGGUGAAAUGCAUAGAUAUGACGAAGAACACCGAUUGCGUAGGCAGCUGACCAGAUCGCAAAUGACGCUCAUGCACGAAAGUGCGGGGAUCGAACAGGAUUAGAUACCCUGGUAGUCCACGCAGUAAACGAUGAUUACUAGCUGUUUGCGAUAUACAGUAAGUGGCACAGCGAAAGCGUUAAGUAAUCCACCUGGGGAGUACGCCGGCAACGGUGAAACUCAAAGGAAUUGACGGGG
This 392-nucleotide ribosomal RNA is filed under the name uncultured bacterium. Its description in RNAcentral is "partial 16S ribosomal RNA". It matches the Rfam family "Bacterial small subunit ribosomal RNA", at positions 523 to 918 of the family's 1533-position model. The record is from RNAcentral.